This 497-nucleotide ribosomal RNA is filed under the name uncultured bacterium. RNAcentral's name for it is "partial 16S ribosomal RNA". It matches the Rfam family "Bacterial small subunit ribosomal RNA", at positions 28 to 507 of the family's 1533-position model. The record is from RNAcentral.
GAUGAACGCUGGCGGCGUGCCUAAUACAUGCAAGUCGAGCGAACAGACGAGGAGCUUGCUCCUCUGACGUUAGCGGCGGACGGGUGAGUAACACGUGGAUAACCUACCUAUAAGACUGGGAUAACUUCGGGAAACCGGAGCUAAUACCGGAUAAUAUAUUUAACCGCAUGGUUCAAUAGUGAAAGACGGUUUUGCUGUCACUUAUAGAUGGAUCCGCGCCGCAUUAGCUAGUUGGUAAGGUAACGGCUUACCAAGGCAACGAUGCGUAGCCGACCUGAGAGGGUGAUCGGCCACACUGGAAAUGAGACACGGUCCAGACUCCUAAGGGAGGCAGCAGUAGGGAAUCUUCCGCAAUGGGCGAAAGCUUGACGGAGCAACGCCGCGUGAGUGAUGAAGGUCUUCGGAUCGUAAAACUCUGUUAUUAGGGAAGAACAAAUGUGUAAGUAACUAUGCACGUCUUGACGGUACCUAAUCAGAAAGCCACGGCUAACUACGUG